RNAcentral lists this ribosomal RNA (407 nucleotides) under uncultured bacterium. RNAcentral describes it as "bacterial SSU rRNA". It matches the Rfam family "Bacterial small subunit ribosomal RNA", at positions 355 to 776 of the family's 1533-position model. The record is from RNAcentral.
UUGGGAAUCUUGCACAAUGGGGGCAACCCUGAUGCAGCGACGCCGCGUGGAGGAUGAAGGAUCUAGGUCUGUAAACUCCUUUUUCAGGGAAAGACUUAGGACGGUACCCUGAGAAUAAGCUCCGGCUAACUACGUGCCAGCAGCCGCGGUAAGACGUAGGGAGCAAGCGUUGUCCGGAUUUACUGGGCGUAAAGGGCGCGUAGGCGGUCUGUUAAGUGAGAGACUGAAAUCUCCAGAGCUCAACUCGGAAACUGGAUCUCAUACUGGCAGACUGGAGGAAGGCAGAGGUAACUGGAAUUCCUGGUGUAGCGGUGAAAUGCGUUGAUAUCAGGAGGAACUCCAAUGGCGAAGGCAGGUUACUGGGCCUUAUCUGACGCUGAGGCGCGAAAGCGUGGGUAGCAAACAGG